AUUGAACGCUGGCGGCAGGCCUAACACAUGCCAGUCGAGCGGAUGAAGGGAGCUUGCUCCUGGAUUCAGCGGCGGACGGGUGAGUAAUGCCCAGGAAUCUGCCUGGUAGUGGGGGAUAACGUCCGGAAACGGGCGCUAAUACCGCAUACGUCCUGAGGGAGAAAGUGGGGGAUCUUCGGACCUCACGCUAUCAGAUGAGCCUAGGUCGGAUUAGCUAGUUGGUGGGGUAAAGGCCUACCAAGGCGACGAUCCGUAACUGGUCUGAGAGGAUGAUCAGUCACACUGGAACUGAGACACGGUCCAGACUCCUACGGGAGGCAGCAGUGGGGAAUAUUGGACAAUGGGCGAAAGCCUGAUCCAGCCAUGCCGCGUGUGUGAAGAAGGUCUUCGGAUUGUAAAGCACUUUAAGUUGGGAGGAAGGGCAGUAAGUUAAUACCUUGCUGUUUUGACGUUACCAACAGAAUAAGCACCGGCUAACUUCGUG
This 484-nucleotide ribosomal RNA is filed under the name uncultured bacterium. RNAcentral describes it as "partial 16S ribosomal RNA". It matches the Rfam family "Bacterial small subunit ribosomal RNA", at positions 30 to 507 of the family's 1533-position model. The record is from RNAcentral.